This 253-nucleotide ribosomal RNA is filed under the name uncultured bacterium. RNAcentral describes it as "partial 16S ribosomal RNA". It matches the Rfam family "Bacterial small subunit ribosomal RNA", at positions 524 to 776 of the family's 1533-position model. The record is from RNAcentral.
UACGUAGGUCCCGAGCGUUAUCCGGAUUUAUUGGGUUUAAAGGGUGCGUAGGCGGAUUGAUAAGUUAGAGGUGAAAUGUCCGAGCUCAACUCGGGAACUGCCUCUAAUACUGUUGAUCUAGAGAGUAGAUGCGGUAGGCGGAAUGUAUGGUGUAGCGGUGAAAUGCUUAGAGAUCAUACAGAACACCGAUUGCGAAGGCAGCUUACCAAUCUAUAUCUGACGUUGAGGCACGAAAGCGUGGGGAGCAAACAGG